RNAcentral lists this ribosomal RNA (200 nucleotides) under uncultured bacterium. RNAcentral describes it as "partial 16S ribosomal RNA". It matches the Rfam family "Bacterial small subunit ribosomal RNA", at positions 524 to 724 of the family's 1533-position model. The record is from RNAcentral.
UACGUAGGGUGCAAGCGUUAAUCGGAAUUACUGGGCGUAAAGCGUGCGCAGGCGGUUAUGUAAGACAGGUGUGAAAUCCCCGGGCUUAACCUGGGAACUGCAUUUGUGACUGCAUAGCUAGAGUACGGUAGAGGGGGAUGGAAUUCCGCGUGUAGCAGUGAAAUGCGUAGAUAUGCGGAGGAACACCGGUAGUGGAGCGG